Molecule: long non-coding RNA, 674 nt
Organism: Aphis gossypii (cotton aphid)
Lineage: Eukaryota; Metazoa; Arthropoda; Insecta; Hemiptera; Aphididae
Exons: 3
Source: RefSeq, a predicted model, not a curated record
AAUUUUUUUGCAAAGAAAGAGUGAUCUUUAUUUUAAAAAAGAAAUUUUUAUCGUCAAAAGAUAGGUAAUCUUUGAAUGAACAGUAAAUAAUGCAUUUGAAAUUAUAUCGUCUUUAAUUAUUAAGUAUGCUUAAAAAUUCCAAAAACUAGAGUUUGACUUAAUGCAUAUAAACAGAUAAAUUUGAGGGCGUAUUAAUAUGUUUGGCGAAUCGUUCUGUAUGAUAAUAAUAAGAUGUUAUAUAGUAUGAAAUGUGUAUCGUGUAUGUCGCCGCAGCUUUUCCUGUCGAAAUGUUUACAUUACAUACCUACAUAUUUAUUGUACCUACGCCCUUUCCUGCAGCAGUGCGCCGUUGCCAGUCAUUCCGAAACGAUACGCGAUGAUGAUACCUUGAUUUGUGUAUAAACGAUAAUAAUUAGUCGGUGAAUAAUAAUUUGAACCGUAUAGGCAUUGUCCACGCUGACGGUCACGGUGUGCUCGAGCAGUGCGACGAAGUCCCGAAAUUGGGUCAUCUCCGCCUCCACCAGGACGUCAAUUAAGUGUACCAUAUAUGUGUGUCUGUAAAAAUGUUUAUUAUAUACACACUGUCUACCGUGGUAAUGAUAUUAUCGUCGUCGUCGUCGUCGUCGGUGUGUAAAUUGCCAUUUAAUUAACCGUGGCGGUCGCGGAAUCCAUGA